CCUUUGAUGAGUCUUUUGCUUGUGAAGCAGAGGAUGUGCCCAUACUUUCAACUAGUGUUGCCUAUGGUGUUUACAUGGCAGUUUCUAGCAACCUAAGGUAUCAAGUACUUGCAGGAAUUAUUGAACAGCGGAUUCUAGAGCCAUUGUUACACCAACAUAAACUUAUACUCAGUGCAAUAUGUUUUGCUGUUCGAACCGGCAACACGUUUUUGGGAUCACUGAUGUGGGUGGAUUAUGCACGGUGGGUUGGAAUCCAAAAGAUAAGGGAGUAGAACAUGGAGGAGAACACUUGCUUGGUUACACUGUUCCCUGUCAAUUUUUUCUUCUUUUCUUUCAAGAGGAUCACAGAGUACACAAGGAUGGAUGAAUGGUGCUGUUGGUUUUAUUUGUCAUAUGUUGAUUAUGUAUAGUUAAACCCAUGACUAAAAAAAUUCAUGACUACGGAGCUUAUUGAGACCAAUAAAUUUUGUGAAUUCCAAAUCAUUAUUCAUUUCUCAA
Pistacia vera is the source of this 498-nucleotide long non-coding RNA. RefSeq lists it as uncharacterized. Lineage: Eukaryota; Viridiplantae; Streptophyta; Magnoliopsida; Sapindales; Anacardiaceae. The transcript has 3 exons. The record is from RefSeq and is a predicted model, not a curated record.